UACGUAGGGUGCAAGCGUUGUCCGGAAUUAUUGGGCGUAAAGAGCUCGUAGGCGGUCUGUCGCGUCUGCUGUGAAAACUCAGGGCUUAACCCUGAGCUUGCAGUGGGUACGGGCAGACUAGAGUGCGGUAGGGGAGACUGGAAUUCUUGGUGUAGCAGUGAAAUGCGUAGAUAUCAAGAGGAACACCAGUGGCGAAGGCGAGUCCCUGGACAACACCUGACACUGAGGCACGAAAGCCGGGGGAGCAAACAGG
RNAcentral lists this ribosomal RNA (253 nucleotides) under uncultured bacterium. RNAcentral describes it as "partial 16S ribosomal RNA". It matches the Rfam family "Bacterial small subunit ribosomal RNA", at positions 524 to 776 of the family's 1533-position model. The record is from RNAcentral.